RNAcentral lists this transfer RNA (73 nucleotides) under Salmo salar (Atlantic salmon). It matches the Rfam family "tRNA". From Rfam's summary of the family: Transfer RNA (tRNA) molecules are approximately 80 nucleotides in length. Their secondary structure includes four short double-helical elements and three loops (D, anti-codon, and T loops). Further hydrogen bonds mediate the characteristic L-shaped molecular structure. tRNAs have two regions of fundamental functional importance: the anti-codon, which is responsible for specific mRNA codon recognition, and the 3' end, to which the tRNAs corresponding amino acid is attached (by aminoacyl-tRNA synthetases). tRNAs cope with the degeneracy of the genetic code in two manners: having more than one tRNA (with a specific anti-codon) for a particular amino acid; and 'wobble' base-pairing, i.e. permitting non-standard base-pairing at the 3rd anti-codon position. The record is from Rfam by way of RNAcentral. Lineage: Eukaryota; Metazoa; Chordata; Actinopteri; Salmoniformes; Salmonidae.
AUCCCUGUAGCUCAGUUGGUAGAGCAUGGUGCUUGCAACGCCAGGGUUGUGGGUUUGAUUCCCACGGGGGGCC